This 506-nucleotide ribosomal RNA is filed under the name uncultured bacterium. RNAcentral's name for it is "partial 16S ribosomal RNA". It matches the Rfam family "Bacterial small subunit ribosomal RNA", at positions 29 to 523 of the family's 1533-position model. The record is from RNAcentral.
AUUGAACGCUGGCGGCAGGCCUAACACAUGCAAGUCGGACGGUAGCACAGAGGAGCUUGCUCCUCGGGUGACGAGUGGCGGACGGGUGAGUAAUGUCUGGGGAUCUGCCCGAUAGAGGGGGAUAACCACUGGAAACGGUGGCUAAUACCGCAUAACGUCGCAAGACCAAAGAGGGGGACCUUCGGGCCUCUCACUAUCGGAUGAACCCAGAUGGGAUUAGCUAGUAGGCGGGGUAACGGCCCACCUAGGCGACGAUCCCUAGCUGGGCUGAGAGGAUGACCAGCCACACUGGAACUGAGACACGGUCCAGACUCCUACGGGAGGCAGCGGUGGGGAAUAUUGCACAAUGGGCGCAAGCCUGAUGCAGCCAUGCCGCGUGUAUGAAGAAGGCCUUCGGGUUGUAAAGUACUUUCAGCGGGGAGGAAGGCGAUAAGGUUAAUAACCUUGUCGAUUGACGUUACCCGCAGAAGAAGCACCGGCUAACUCCGUGCCAGCCGCCGCAGUAA